CCUCGCUCUGAUACCACUUUAAUCUGUCACGCCCCUUGGUCCUUUUUUAUUUGAACACAACGGAAAAAGCGUCUAAAUUUUUUUUUUUUGAAAACCUGACCCCAGAGUAUGCCAGAUCCGCCACAAAUACAGGGAUUCCACUGUUCACACGGACAGAGUCUCCCCUGUAUUUGCACGGCGUCGCACAAGUACAACAUUACAAACAGAAUACAACCACAACUAAAUGAAUAUAGAAAUAAUUAUUCAUUCAUACAUUCAUACAUUCACCAUUCACAUCAUAGAUUUGCAUUUAAUAUUUAAACAUAAAUCCACAGACAAUUCUUUAGAAAACUAUUUUGUAUACAAAAACUUUUAUUCUUUAAAAACGCUACCACGAGGGGUAGAAAAUCUUUUAUUUUACAAAAUCCAGAAAUCCGUUUAUUACAUUCACGAAAACCCAUAUUUUCAAAUGUAAUAAAAAUACUGAACCAUAUAACUAUCUAAGCUAUAACAACUGAAAUAAUAAGGGUAAUAACUAUACCGAAAUAACCUGGGUCGGAAUCUCUAUCGACCGCUACGUACGUAUCUCGCGUCUCGUCCCAAUACACAACGCAUGCGAUACCUGAAAAAUGGUGGGGGAGGUGAGAACAUGUAAACAUGUCUCCCCUCCCAGUGGGUACCGCAAACCGAAGAAGGCGAGGAGUACUCACCGGAUCAGG
This 698-nucleotide long non-coding RNA is filed under the name Ananas comosus (pineapple). RNAcentral describes it as "long non-coding RNA (ACOM_LNC037200)". The record is from RNAcentral. Lineage: Eukaryota; Viridiplantae; Streptophyta; Magnoliopsida; Poales; Bromeliaceae.